GGGGGUAUAGCUCAAAUGGUAGAGCGCGUGCUUAGCAUGCACGAGGUCCUGGGUUUAAUCCCCAGUACCUCCA
Molecule: transfer RNA, 73 nt
Filed under: Camelus bactrianus (Bactrian camel)
Lineage: Eukaryota; Metazoa; Chordata; Mammalia; Artiodactyla; Camelidae
Also listed under: 2 other names
Rfam family: tRNA
About the family: Transfer RNA (tRNA) molecules are approximately 80 nucleotides in length.
Source: Rfam by way of RNAcentral